UUAUUUCUAUCUAAAAAUCUA
This 21-nucleotide non-coding RNA is filed under the name Caenorhabditis elegans. Lineage: Eukaryota; Metazoa; Nematoda; Chromadorea; Rhabditida; Rhabditidae. The record is from RNAcentral.